Molecule: ribosomal RNA, 112 nt
Filed under: Acanthosepion pharaonis
Lineage: Eukaryota; Metazoa; Mollusca; Cephalopoda; Sepiida; Sepiidae
Source: RNAcentral
UUACGGUCAAAUCACGCUGAAAACACCGGUUCUCGUUCGAUCACCGAAGUUAAGCAUCGUAGAGCCAGGUCAGUAAGAUGGGGGACCGCUUGGGAACACCUGGUACUGUAAG